RNA transcript from Acinonyx jubatus (cheetah), 9320 nucleotides. RefSeq lists it as uncharacterized. The record is from RefSeq and is a predicted model, not a curated record. The transcript is spliced from 4 exons. Lineage: Eukaryota; Metazoa; Chordata; Mammalia; Carnivora; Felidae.
GCCGGCGUGAUUCCGACCGCGGGAGCCGGGAGGAGGAGCCGGAGGUGGCUGCGGGGGGCUCUGGCCCAGGCAAAGGAAGGGCAAGGGGCGGUUCGGGCCGGGGGCUGCGGACUUGACGUCCAGGGCCGGGGAGAGGUCUUUAGGUGAAGCGGACAUCCCCACCUUCUGAUGUAACAGCUGCGAAUCGCGAGGCUGACCUCUCAUCCUUUGGCCUGGAGAUGAGAGUGUCUUAGGCCCAGUGAUAGGCGGGAAGGGACCGGAGGGAGCCACAAGUCUGCACCCAGGCGGGGAGGAAGCGGGCGGGAGCCGCUCCGCAGGCGCAGGCGAGUGGGUGGGAAGGAGGGAGGGAGAGAGGGAGAGAGGGAGGAAGGAGGUGAGGCCGGGAAGAUGCCACUGCCGGGGGCGGGGCGGGGCCCGGGAUCCGGGAGAGGGACUGCAGCGGUGUUUGGUGGGGGCUGGGGCUGCAAUGUCACUUAUUUGAGGGUCAGGUGUGUAUGUCCCAGGCUGGGACUGCCACUUGCUUACAUCUUCCCAGUACCACCCAGGGCGCAGGGACCGAGGCGGAGGGCAGGGGACUGCAGUACCGUCCCCGAAGCGGGACGCGAACCGGCAGACUUGGGAGAAGAGCCUCCGCGCCGGGGAGCUGAGCAUGCUGCCCCCGCGUGCAGCGCCCGCGUGCACCCAGCCCGGAGAGGGGGCGACAGGGCGGAGGCGGUGGCCCCCGGAAGGUGUCUGGGACCGGACCGGCUGCACGUGAGCCCAGCGCGGAGUCAUGUGCACCGGCUCAGCCCGGUUCGGCGGCCGGACGUGCUGCGUAUCAACAAAAUGAAACUCAAGGCGACAGGAGGGCAGAUAGCUCUGGGUCCUCCGAACCCCCGUCUCCGGCAGAACGACCUCCCCUCCGCUGCGGUCUCCCGCCGCAGCCCCUCCGCGCGGCCGGAGCCCGCGGGGCAAGUUGCAGCCCUGGCGCGCCCCCGCCCGCCCGCGCCCCCUCACCGGCCCGAGGGCGCUUUGCCGCAGUCAUUAAUAAAGAAGGUCGCCAAGCUCACCCUUCCAAAAGUUGUUGUUGCAUGCGCCCCUCUCAGCCUCCCCGCAAUGUACUCUUUAAAACAUGACUGACCAACAUGCGCAAUCUCUCUCCCCGGUGCUGUGCAUCCCCCCCCCCCCCCCCGCGCCCUGGCUUCCUAGAACAGGCAGCCAGCAGGAGAGAGAGGGAGCGAGCGAGCAAGAGAGAGAGCGCGAGCGAGGGAGCGAGGAGCGCUGGCAGAUCUGUUGCAAAAACAUAAAAUAACGCCGUGGAGAUGCGCAGGGCCCAUCGCUGGGGGCAGGAUCUUACCUUCCUCCGCGGUGCCCUUCUGAGGGGCGCUGCCCUGGACUACGCGCCGCGGCGGGGGCCGGCGCUGGAAGGAUGCUCCCGAAACCCGGAGCUCCUGGGGCCGGCGCGGGCGGGCGGGGGGCGCGCAUCCAUCCGGGGUCGCGGCGAGGGAGGCUGCCGGGCCCUCGGCGUCCCCGGCCCCGCACCCCUGCUGGGGCGGUCAGCCCGCUGGACGUAAGCCCUUGCCGCUAGGAAUGGGCACAAAGUAACUCCAUGGACGCUACUCACCCCCCUCCCAAAAAAAUAGCCUCCAACUGCGAUGGCCGCGGUCGGCACCAUUCACCAAUCCCCCUGUGUAUGUUUCUGUUUCUUUUUAAACCAAGACUUCCUUGUGAUCUCUUUAGAAAAAAAAUGUGUUGGGGUGGGGGUGGGGUGGGGGCGGGCGGGAGGAGCGAGGGAGGGGGAGUAGCCACUUUUUUCUUAUUCACUCGGAUCUCCACUCCUGACACCCCCCCCCGUCUCCCGCCCCACCCCCCGCCCGGUUGUUUGGCUCCGGCAGCGGGUCCAGGUAGGGUUGCAGGCCUCGGGGGAGGGGGGGGGCGGGGAGGGUGCUCUGCCCGGCUGCCCGUCUGCCUGCACCUCGGGCCCAGACUCCCCAUGGGCUCUGGGGCGCCCCCAGCCCGCCCUGUCCCCAGGGCCGGGCCCGAGCGGCGGCUGCGCCCGUGCAAGUCCCAUCAGGUCUGCUCACACUUCACACACUCACACACAUACCCCGCCCCUCCACUCUCUCACACUUUCUGCUCACACCCCGCCCCCUUCGAGCCCCAGACCCGGGCGGCGCCCCCCGCAACCUUAAAAAAAAAAAAAAAGCAAGCUUAUACUUAAAAAAAUCUUUUGGCGCCAUAUUAAUGACGUACUUAAAAUUUGCCAUUUCUCCCUGCGUCAAAAAGACGUUUCUUUGCAAAUAACAGCCUGAAGGCGACACUCGCGGAGGGAACGAGGUUUGCACCGAGCACCCCGCCUCCCGGGGCUCCAGCGCUGGAAGACCCUCGCCCUAGGCCCUGCUCCCGAAUCUCUGGUUUAAAAAUGCGAACCGAAUAAAUCGCGUGGCGCUCUGCAGCGCCAGAAGUGAGCAGAAAGUGCUGGCAGGAGCGGAGGGGAGGGGCACGCGCGCGAGUCUGGGGGAGGGGGCGCGUCCCUUCUCCCCCACCCACAGCAGAUGGAAACUAACAUCCCGGGCGGGGGAAACUUGAAAUUGCCGGCGACCUCAGGAAGGAGGGGCCGUCCGUGGAGAGGGUCCCUCUCGGGUUCGUUGCCCCCCUCCCCCGUUCGGGUGCCUACAGGCUCCCAGCUCUGCCCCGCAUUUCCGGGGGGUGGGGAACGCAGUGAUGGGUGGGUGGGUAGCUGCAAGUCUCGGCCCCAGUAGGAGUUUGCCCCGAGGUGUUCCCUUCCCCCCUAGCUCGUCCUUCCCAUUCCCCCUAAAGGGUUAAAAACCGAGGGGGCUACUUCCAAGGGCUGGCACUUGGCGAGGAAGCGGGGCGCCCCUCUCCCCACCCUUCGCCUCCUCGCCCCUCCUCCUCCGGCUCCACUUCCCGACUUGACCUUGUGGUGCACAAACAGUGCGCUCGGAUCCUCGCAGUUUCUGGAAGAAGCGCUUGCGCUCGCCAGGCAGGCGGGCUGUCGGGCGGCUCGCGGGCGGUGGCGGGGCCUUGGGUCGGUUCCCAGAGCCGCGGGCCACACCCACCCAACCCGCUGCGCCCGCGGUGCUCACCUUCUCUCGAGGAAGGAGCUGCGCUAGCCUCCUGGAUGGGGAGGUGUCGGGGGCAAGCUGCAGCCUUCUCCCAAUGCUCCCAAUUGGGGAGAGGGUGGUCUGGUCUCAGGCGGGGUUUGUUGGGGAGACCUGGGAACCUGGUUCAACAUCCCCAAAGAUCGUUGCCAACUUUUCCUUCCCCCUCCCUUUUGGCUGCCCCUCAAAGAUGAUCCAAUAAUUUUUGCAACUCACCUUUGGCUUUGAAGGCACAUGGGUGAGUUGUGAACUGGGACAGGAACCGCCUUCCCUCUCCGAGACUGAAGGUUGUUUAUCCUUCCUUUCUUUCCCUUCCACCCCCUUCUAUGGAAAGACAAAUACUCAAUUUACAUAAGAUGACAUUUAUGUGACACUUAAAAAGAUUCCCCCAUGGAAUGUUGUGAACACAUUUGCUUAUAGGAGAAAUAAAUCUAAUAAUAAACUUCUAACAGCACAAAUCCUCUGACGGGUUAAAUGGUCUACACAACAAAGAGGAAGAUGGUGAAUGUGGAAAUAAGCCCUUUCUGCAACAAGAAAGAAAUAUGAGCUCAAAGGGAGUCCCAGAAGCGUUUCUCUUCCUUGGCCUUCUUUCACAAAGUCUGGGAAGGCUUGUUUGGCAAGACUGAGGAACUGGGGUACCACCUCCAGACCUGACUCUAGCUCUGAGUUGGUAGGAUUUUCCCAAGCCUAAACUCAGUGCCAGAAAACAGAUGUCACAAGCUGUUAGCAUGUAACAAAAAUGGUCAAAUACCUGGAUUCAAAUCCUGGCUUUGCAGUUGAGAAGCUACUUGAUGUGGGCAAGCGCAUUCAUCUCUCUGGGUCUCUUUCUUCUAUAGAAUAGGAUGGUUGGAGAGUUCCUGAAGCCGUGUGUAUAUAUACAUAUAUGUAUAUAUGUUUGCAUACAUUCUAUAUGUGUAAAGCAGGGGCCUGGCUCAGAGUGCACAGUGCACAUUAGCACUUUCCCUGGUGUUUGUGUUUUGGAAGGGUGAAUAUGCUCCCUGAAAGCUCUUAACACUGGAAAUACUGGAGAACAAUGAUUUCUAUCUUGUCCUCUAUGAUGACAUAUACAAGAUCUCCCAGUUAGGGCAAAAAGAAGUAGAAGAGAAAAAACUGUGCUAGAUGGUAGGCUUCAUGGUCAAGGUCCAGAUGGCAGUCUUAACCACACAUCUGAAGUGGGAAUGGAGGCACCAAUUUACAGUGGCACAGUCCAAAGGAAGCACUCUGGGUCUAGAUAUAGCGGGUUUACAUACAGGAAAGGACUGGACAGGCUCCUCCUCUUAGCCAUCAAGAUCCUGUGAGCCUUGGCAGGCAGUUAUAAAAUGACCUAGAGAGAUGGAAGAGGGCGAAGAUGACCAUCUCCUGUGCUGUGCACUAUGCCAGUCAUCCCAUUUCAUCCUCAGAAAAAUCCCAUUUUAUCUAUUCAGAAAGGUUUCAUGACUCACCAACAAUCACACGAGCUAGGAAGUGGUGGCAGAGUUGGCACCUGGUUUGGAUGCCCCCAAGAUUAUGUGUUGUCCAUUUUACCAUGCUGCCAGAAUUAAAAGGUUACUUUGCUGUCCUAUGGAGGACAGACUGAAAGCGGAAAGGCUGAAGCUGGAAGACAGGUGAGGAGGUCACUGAAAUAAACCAGGUAAGAGAUGAUGUUAAAGUACACUAGAGUGGUAGCAGGGGAAGUGGUCAAAGUCAAUAUAUUUUAUGAAGAUAGCUUUGACAGGAUUUGUUGAUGAGGCAUGAGAAAACAAGAAUUCAAGGAUGACUAGAGUUUUGUCUUGAACCAGUGGAAAAACAGAAUUGCCAUUAAAAGAUAUGUGAAGACUAUGGAAGGAGUAGAUUCGGGGGAGGAUAAGGAGCUCAGCAUUAAGACAUAGUAAGCUUAAGAUACCUAUUAGAUGUCCAAGUGUAGCCAUCCUAUAGGCAGUUAGAAAUGGUAGCCUCAGCUCAGAGGUAGGUUCGGGGCUGAAGGUAUCUUUUGAGAAGGGUCAGCAGGUGGCUGGUAUUUAAAGCUAUAAGACUGUUUGAAAUCACUAAGGAAUUGAGUGUAGAAAGAGAAGUCCAAGGACAAUGCCCUUGGCCACUACAAGGUUAAGAGGUCUGGAAGAUGAAAAGGAAUCAGUAAGAUGUUGUUAAAAAAGAAAUAUUCAGACAUUUCUCCAAAGAAGAAAUAUAAAUGGCCAAAAAGCACAUGAAAAGAUGCUCAAUGUUGCUCACCAUUAGGGAAAUACAGAUCAAAGGUGCAAUACGGUACCACCUCACAUCCAAUAGGAUGGCUACUAUUUAAAAAAAAAAAACAGAAAAUAACACGGGUUGGCAAGGAUGUGGAGAAAUUAGAACACUUGUGCACUAUCAUUGAGAAUAUAAAAUAGUACAGCCACUGUGGAAAACAGUAUGGCCAUUCCUCAGAAAAUUAAAAAUAGAAUUACCAUAUGAUCCAGCAAUUCCAUUUCUGGAUAUAUAUUCAAAAGAAUUGAAAACAGGGUCUUGAAGAGAUUUGUGUACUUGUGUUCAUAGUAGCAUCAUCCACGAUAACUAAAAUGUGGAAGCAACCCAAGUGUCUGUUAAUGGAUGAAUGGGUAAAGCAAAAUGUGGUAUAUACAUAGAAUGGAAUAUUAUUCAGCCUUAAAAAGGAAGGAAAUUCUGCAACAUGCUACAACAUGGAUGCACCUUUAGGUCCUUAUGCUAAGGGAAAUAAGCCAGUCACAAAAAGAUAAAUACUGUAUGAUCCACUUAUGCGAGAUACCUAGAGUGAUGAAAUUCAUAGAGACAGAAAGAACAGUGUUUGCCAGGGGCUGGAGCAGGGAGGGCAGAUGGGGACUCAUAGUUCAACAGGUACAGUUUCAGUUUUGCAAGAUGAAAGAGUUCUGGAGAUGGAGGGUGGUGACAGUUGCACAACAGUGUGAAUGUACUUAAUAUCAUUGAACUGUACACUUAAAAAUGAUUAAGAUAGUGGGGCGCCUGGGUGGCUCAGUCGGUUGAGCAUCCGACUUCGGCUCAGGUCAUGAUCUCGCAGUUCGUGAGUUCGAGCCCCGCGUUGGGCUCUGUGCUGACAGCUCAGAGCCUGGAGCCUGCUUCCGAUUCUGUGUCUCCCUCUCUCUCGGCCCCUUCCCCGCUCAUGCUCUGUCUCUCUCUGUCUCUCAAAAAUGAAUAAACGUUAAAAAAAAUUAAAAAACAAUGAUUAAGAUAGUAAAAUUUAUGUUAUGUGUAUUUUAUCACAAUAAAAAAAUUGGGGGAGGGGUGCCUGGCUGGCUCAGUCAGUGGAGCAUGGGACUCUUGUGUGUUUGAGCUCUACUGUUGGGUGUAGAGAUUCCUUAAAAAUAAAAUAUUUAAAAAUAAUAAAAAUAAUUUUUUUUUAAUUGGGGGAAAAAAGUAAAAAGAAAGCAGUGGCAUCCAGAGAGAUAGGAGGAGUGUCUUAGAAGACAAGAUAAGAGUGUUUCAGGAGGGAGGAAAGCUCUAUGUGCAAAGCUACCAAGAGGAAUGAGGUUAGAUACAGACUGACGAUCAUUAGUUUCAGCCAUGUUGAAGUCACUGGUGAUACUGAUAAGAGCCACAUCAACACACUGGCAUAAGUGAAAGUUUGACUGAGUGGGCUCAAGAGAGAGUGGGAAAGUUUAUAGUUGUUAUACCUUGUUCCAAGAUUCUACUUGAAAAUGAGAAGUCCUCUGUAUAUGUAUGUUUAUAGAAAUAGAUAAUCAUGUAUCUGUAGGAAUUCAAUGCAAAUGAUUUUUAUUGAGAGUCUUCCAGGUACUAGGCAUGUUUAAUGGAUUCUACAGAUAACUGAGAGAAAGAAAACACAUUAACUGCCUUCCAAUAUUUCACAAGAGUUCAUAAUCUAACAAACUUUGUGGACACAAAGUGAUGUAUAUGGCUAAAUACACACAGUCAGACCCAGCAUCAAUUUUUUCAGUGUAUGCCUAAAACUGUGGAUUCCACAUUCAUAUGGUCUUAGGAUAGAGUCCUGUCCCCACCAUUCACCAGCUCUGUGACUUUGUACAACCUCUGUGUGCCUAAGUUUCCUCCUCUGUAAUUAGGGAUGCAAUAAUUUCCAAACUUCAGUGUGCCUGGUAUGCUUGUUAAAAAUGGAGAUUUCUGGGAGUGCCUGGCUGGCUCAGUCAGAAGAGUUUGCGACUCUGGAUCUCAGGGUCAUGAGUUCAAGUCCCAUGUUGGGUGUAGAGAUUACUUAAAGAAAUAAAACUUAAAUUUCUUUAAAGUUUUAUUUAUUUUAUUUUUGAGACGGGCAGGGGGUGGGGCAGAGAGAGAGGGAGAGAGAGAAUUCCAAGCAGGCUCUGUGGAACCUGACGCAGGGCUUCAUCUCACAAACCAUGAGAUCAUGACCUGAGCAGAAAUCAAGAGUCUAAUGCUCAACUGACUGAGCCACCCAGGAGCCACUCCCCACCAACCCUCAAAUUUUUUAAAAUGUGGAUUUCCAGGUGCCUGGGUGUCUCAGUUGGUUAAGUGUCAGACUUUGGCUCAGGUCAUGAUCUCUCAGUUCAUGAGUUUGAGCCCCGCAUCUGGCUCUCCGCUGUCAGUGUGGAGCCUGCUUUGGAUCUUCUGUCCCCCUCUCUCUCUGCCCCUUUCCUGCUUGUGCUGUCUCUCUCUCUCUCGGUCUCAAAAAUAAAUAAACAUAAAUAAAAUAAAAUAAAAUAAAAUAAAACAAAACAAAAUAAUAAAAUAAAAAUAAAACGUGGAUUUCUAGGCUUUAUCCCUAAAGGUUCUCAACGGGCAGGUCUGGGGCAAGUCCCAAGGAUAUGCAUUUUUUAAUAAGUACCUGGUCAUGCUUGAUGCCCUUGGCCUUGAACCACACUUUGUAAGCAUUGGCCUGGCACUCAGUAAUUGCUCAUCAGACAAUAGCUGUUCUUCCGGGGGUCCCUACUGGGAACAAAAGUUCUAAUCCCUUGUGAUUUAUAUCCAGAACCACAGGUCCAGCAUACCCUAAGCACCCUAAAUGUAGAAAAGAGCAUGAGAAUCAUUCAACAUUUAUUUGUUGAAUGCUUACUCUGUUCUAACAGUGUUCAAGGGCUGGAGAGACAAACAAUAUAUGACUCAAUAAUUUGUUUGAGUCAUCAGGGUAGGCAGAAGCCCCACAUGAAGUUAGCCACACUCUCCAGCAGCCAAACUGUAUCAGGUGAGAAGUCCUAUGUUCACUCACUAGCUGCUUAAGGCAGUACUUGUACAACAAUAACAUGAACGUGAAUCACCUGGGUUCCUGUUUACAUGAAGGUUCUGAUUCAUUAGGUUUGGGGCAGGGCCUGAGAAUCUGCAUUUCUAACGGGCUGUUAGAUGAUUUGGAUGGUGCCAGUCCAUAGAUGAUACUUGAUGUAGUAGAGUUAGGAAAACUGGAUCACAAUACUUGUCCUAACAUUAGAGUUCCUGGAGACUUUCUGCAAAUCCUAAAGGGACAAAAUGAAAUCUGGGAAGAUCACACAUGUGAGCUUUGCUCACCCUUUCUUCCAUCUCCUCUGUUUCUGGAAUCUGAUCCUCACCCUCCCAAAUAUAGUCAGUGCUACUAGGUGACCUCCUCUAAGGGAGGGUGAACAUUCAUUCUCUUGGUCAUUCAGUAAAUAUUUCCUGGCUGCCUACUCUGUGCCAAGCCCUAUGCAAAGCGCAUAACUUGGCAUUCAAGAGAGGACAGAUCCAGCAGCUCUGCCUCCUAGGCUCCAGGCAGGGGCUGCAGGUGGGGUUUGGGCAGAUAGGAAAACUGCCCAGGGCUGCAUCUGUGGCUUAAGACACUGCCCUGGCAAGAGCCAGCCUUGCUACUUUCUGUGGUGCUACAAACACAUGCCUGGGAGAAGCACCCCUCUGGAGCCUUUGCCAGCUGGUUUAGAGAUGGUACUGACCAGCCGUAGGAGAUGUCUGGAUGAUGUGCCAGCCUGGCCACCUGUCUCUUCUCAGACUCUCAGACACAGCCCAGUGGCCACAGAUGGCAGAAGGCAAAGAAGAUCCCUGGGGCUUCUAAACACUUCCCCAGAAACUGGCAGCAGGCAGUAACUCCGGCCAAGUCAGGGGCCAGCUUGACCAGACACUCAUCAAAGUGUGAGACUCCCCGCGUGGAGCUGAGGGACCCGGCUCUGUCCAAGAACCAUCAAGAACCAAAGGCGCUGGCUCCAAGUCAAGUUGAACAGGGAAAGCAAAACCCUUUCCUUUUCCCCUAGGGUUUCUCUCUUUCUUUCUUUCUUUCUUUCUUUCUUUCUUUCUUUCUUUCUUUCUUUCUUUCUUUCUUCCUUC